UCCUGUGGACCGAUGAGUGACGAAAAUCCUGGCCAUAGUAGCAGCGAUAGUCGGGUGAGAACCCCGACGGCCUAAUGGAUAAGGGUUCCUCAGCACUGCUGAUCAGCUGAGGGUUAGCCGGUCCUAAGUCACACCGCAACUCGACUGUGACGAAAUGGGAAACGGGUUAAUAUUCCCGUGCCACUAUGCAGUGAAAGUCGACGCCCUGGGGUCGAUCACGCCGGGCCUUCGCCCGGUCGAACCGUCAAACUCCGUGGAAGCCGUAACGGCACGAAGCGGACGAACGGCGGCAUAGGGAAACGUGAUUCAACCUGGGGCCCAUGAAAAGACGAGCAUAGUGUCCGUACCGAGAACCGACACAGGUGUCCAUGGCGGCGAAAGCCAAGGCCUGUCGGGAGCAACCAACGUUAGGGAAUUCGGCAAGUUAGUCCCGUACCUUCGGAAGAAGGGAUGCCUGCUCCGGAACGGAGCAGGUCGCAGUGACUCGGAAGCUCGGACUGUCUAGUAACAACACAGGUGACUGCAAAUCCGCAAGGACUCGUACAGUCACUGAAUCCUGCCCAGUGCAGGUAUCUGAACACCUCGUACAAGAGGACGAAGGACCUGUCAACGGCGGGGGUAACUAUGACCCUCUUAAGGUAGCGUAGUACCUUGCCGCAUCAGUAGCGGCUUGCAUGAAUGGAUUAACCAGAGCUUCACUGUCCCAACGUUGGGCCCGGUGAACUGUACAUUCCAGUGCGGAGUCUGGAGACACCCAGGGGGAAGCGAAGACCCUAUGGAGCUUUACUGCAGGCUGUCGCUGAGACGUGGUCGCCGAUGUGCAGCAUAGGUAGGAGACGUUACACAGGUACCCGCGCUAGCGGGCCACCGAGUCAACAGUGAAAUACUACCCGUCGGUGACUGCGACUCUCACUCCGGGAGGAGGACACCGAUAGCCGGGCAGUUUGACUGGGGCGGUACGCGCUCGAAAAGAUAUCGAGCGCGCCCUAUGGCUAUCUCAGCCGGGACAGAGACCCGGCGAAGAGUGCAAGAGCAAAAGAUAGCUUGACAGUGUUCUUCCCAACGAGGAACGCUGACGCGAAAGCGUGGUCUAGCGAACCAAUUAGCCUGCUUGAUGCGGGCAAUUGAUGACAGAAAAGCUACCCUAGGGAUAACAGAGUCGUCACUCGCAAGAGCACAUAUCGACCGAGUGGCUUGCUACCUCGAUGUCGGUUCCCUCCAUCCUGCCCGUGCAGAAGCGGGCAAGGGUGAGGUUGUUCGCCUAUUAAAGGAGGUCGUGAGCUGGGUUUAGACCGUCGUGAGACAGGUCGGCUGCUAUCUACUGGGUGUGUUAUGGUGUCUGACAAGAACGACCGUAUAGUACGAGAGGAACUACGGUUGGUGGCCACUGGUGUACCGGUUGUUCGAGAGAGCACGUGCCGGGUAGCCACGCCACACGGGGUAAGAGCUGAACGCAUCUAAGCUCGAAACCCACUUGGAAAAGAGACACCGCUGAGGUCCCGCGUAUAAGACGCGGUCGAUAGACUCGGGGUGUGCGCGUCGAGGUAACGAGACGUU
Molecule: ribosomal RNA, 1557 nt
Filed under: Haloarcula sp. 1CSR25-25
Lineage: Archaea; Methanobacteriati; Methanobacteriota; Halobacteria; Halobacteriales; Haloarculaceae
Description: partial 23S ribosomal RNA
Rfam family: Archaeal large subunit ribosomal RNA
Source: RNAcentral